AAGACUACAAAGUCUGUCUCAGUUCAAUCUGUGAAUUCCACAUUGACUGAUCGUGAAGUUGGAAGAUCUAGGUCGGGAUUGAAUUCCCAAAAUGUCUCAGGCACCAGUGCAGAAUCCAUUGGGAGGCCCUCAUUUCCUAGUAUGUCUCAAAGACAAAGCAAUCUCAGAGUGUUCACAGUUUCUGAACUUAGGUUAGCUACCAAGAAUUUCAACCGAUCUGUCGUGCUCGGGGAGGGUGGAUUUGGUUGUGUCUAUAGAGG
This 260-nucleotide unclassified non-coding RNA is filed under the name Hevea brasiliensis (rubber tree). The record is from RNAcentral. Lineage: Eukaryota; Viridiplantae; Streptophyta; Magnoliopsida; Malpighiales; Euphorbiaceae.